CUAUCAUAUAAUCUAUUAUUCGCUGAUUCAUAAUAACGUCACUUCAAAGCAUGCACAAUACAUUUGGCAAUCACUCAAAACACGAGGUCAUAAUGUUGUAUAAAAUAUGCUAAAUACAUCAAAUAUGUGGGCAGCUGAGAAAACUUUGCUCUCAAAGACACAGUCUCAUCUAUAGUAGCACGUCUCAGUUCGACAAUCGAAGCUCAUUUCCAUAUUAACCGAAACACAAUCGCUGCAGCGGUGGUUUAUGUGUCUGGCUGGCUGCAAGAAAUUAAAAAUUCUUCAGAGCUUCGGCCAACGGCGCGUCGUCAGGAUGUUACUGACGAACAUCCUGGCUUUGGGUGUUUUUAAUCUUCAAUGUUUCGAGGAACACAAUACUGACAAUAGCAACCUAUUGUAACCAGAGAAUACAGCCUAUACACUGCAGGAUGGACCCCUAUGUUUGAGCCCAAAUGAUACAAUUCAGGGCUGUGACCGGAAUCAUAAACCGAAUAACUGAUAAACAGGUUAUGGGAAAAUCCGCUACACAUUUCUGCCAACAUUAACGCUUCCUAUAAUCAUG
Molecule: non-coding RNA, 562 nt
Organism: Paramuricea clavata
Lineage: Eukaryota; Metazoa; Cnidaria; Anthozoa; Malacalcyonacea; Plexauridae
Source: the annotation of a GenBank genome assembly